GCCUGGGUGGCUCAGUCAGUUGAGCAUCCGACUUCGACUCAGGUCAUGAUCUCAUGGUUUGUGGGUUCGAGUCCCACGUCGAGCU
Molecule: transfer RNA, 85 nt
Filed under: Felis catus (domestic cat)
Lineage: Eukaryota; Metazoa; Chordata; Mammalia; Carnivora; Felidae
Rfam family: tRNA
About the family: Transfer RNA (tRNA) molecules are approximately 80 nucleotides in length.
Source: Rfam by way of RNAcentral